RNAcentral lists this ribosomal RNA (2925 nucleotides) under Escherichia coli. RNAcentral's name for it is "partial 23S ribosomal RNA". It matches the Rfam family "Bacterial large subunit ribosomal RNA". The record is from RNAcentral. Lineage: Bacteria; Pseudomonadati; Pseudomonadota; Gammaproteobacteria; Enterobacterales; Enterobacteriaceae.
GGGUUGUGAGGUUAAGCGACUAAGCGUACACGGUGGAUGCCCUGGCAGUCAGAGGCGAUGAAGGACGUGCUAAUCUGCGAUAAGCGUCGGUAAGGUGAUAUGAACCGUUAUAACCGGCGAUUUCCGAAUGGGGAAACCCAGUGUGAUUCGUCACACUAUCAUUAACUGAAUCCAUAGGUUAAUGAGGCGAACCGGGGGAACUGAAACAUCUAAGUACCCCGAGGAAAAGAAAUCAACCGAGAUUCCCCCAGUAGCGGCGAGCGAACGGGGAGCAGCCCAGAGCCUGAAUCAGUGUGUGUGUUAGUGGAAGCGUCUGGAAAGGCGCGCGAUACAGGGUGACAGCCCCGUACACAAAAAUGCACAUGCUGUGAGCUCGAUGAGUAGGGCGGGACACGUGGUAUCCUGUCUGAAUAUGGGGGGACCAUCCUCCAAGGCUAAAUACUCCUGACUGACCGAUAGUGAACCAGUACCGUGAGGGAAAGGCGAAAAGAACCCCGGCGAGGGGAGUGAAAAAGAACCUGAAACCGUGUACGUACAAGCAGUGGGAGCACGCUUAGGCGUGUGACUGCGUACCUUUUGUAUAAUGGGUCAGCGACUUAUAUUCUGUAGCAAGGUUAACCGAAUAGGGGAGCCGAAGGGAAACCGAGUCUUAACUGGGCGUUAAGUUGCAGGGUAUAGACCCGAAACCCGGUGAUCUAGCCAUGGGCAGGUUGAAGGUUGGGUAACACUAACUGGAGGACCGAACCGACUAAUGUUGAAAAAUUAGCGGAUGACUUGUGGCUGGGGGUGAAAGGCCAAUCAAACCGGGAGAUAGCUGGUUCUCCCCGAAAGCUAUUUAGGUAGCGCCUCGUGAAUUCAUCUCCGGGGGUAGAGCACUGUUUCGGCAAGGGGGUCAUCCCGACUUACCAACCCGAUGCAAACUGCGAAUACCGGAGAAUGUUAUCACGGGAGACACACGGCGGGUGCUAACGUCCGUCGUGAAGAGGGAAACAACCCAGACCGCCAGCUAAGGUCCCAAAGUCAUGGUUAAGUGGGAAACGAUGUGGGAAGGCCCAGACAGCCAGGAUGUUGGCUUAGAAGCAGCCAUCAUUUAAAGAAAGCGUAAUAGCUCACUGGUCGAGUCGGCCUGCGCGGAAGAUGUAACGGGGCUAAACCAUGCACCGAAGCUGCGGCAGCGACGCUUAUGCGUUGUUGGGUAGGGGAGCGUUCUGUAAGCCUGUGAAGGUGUGCUGUGAGGCAUGCUGGAGGUAUCAGAAGUGCGAAUGCUGACAUAAGUAACGAUAAAGCGGGUGAAAAGCCCGCUCGCCGGAAGACCAAGGGUUCCUGUCCAACGUUAAUCGGGGCAGGGUGAGUCGACCCCUAAGGCGAGGCCGAAAGGCGUAGUCGAUGGGAAACAGGUUAAUAUUCCUGUACUUGGUGUUACUGCGAAGGGGGGACGGAGAAGGCUAUGUUGGCCGGGCGACGGUUGUCCCGGUUUAAGCGUGUAGGCUGGUUUUCCAGGCAAAUCCGGAAAAUCAAGGCUGAGGCGUGAUGACGAGGCACUACGGUGCUGAAGCAACAAAUGCCCUGCUUCCAGGAAAAGCCUCUAAGCAUCAGGUAACAUCAAAUCGUACCCCAAACCGACACAGGUGGUCAGGUAGAGAAUACCAAGGCGCUUGAGAGAACUCGGGUGAAGGAACUAGGCAAAAUGGUGCCGUAACUUCGGGAGAAGGCACGCUGAUAUGUAGGUGAAGUCCCUCGCGGAUGGAGCUGAAAUCAGUCGAAGAUACCAGCUGGCUGCAACUGUUUAUUAAAAACACAGCACUGUGCAAACACGAAAGUGGACGUAUACGGUGUGACGCCUGCCCGGUGCCGGAAGGUUAAUUGAUGGGGUCAGCGCAAGCGAAGCUCUUGAUCGAAGCCCCGGUAAACGGCGGCCGUAACUAUAACGGUCCUAAGGUAGCGAAAUUCCUUGUCGGGUAAGUUCCGACCUGCACGAAUGGCGUAAUGAUGGCCAGGCUGUCUCCACCCGAGACUCAGUGAAAUUGAACUCGCUGUGAAGAUGCAGUGUACCCGCGGCAAGACGGAAAGACCCCGUGAACCUUUACUAUAGCUUGACACUGAACAUUGAGCCUUGAUGUGUAGGAUAGGUGGGAGGCUUUGAAGUGUGGACGCCAGUCUGCAUGGAGCCGACCUUGAAAUACCACCCUUUAAUGUUUGAUGUUCUAACGUUGACCCGUGAUCCGGGUUGCGGACAGUGUCUGGUGGGUAGUUUGACUGGGGCGGUCUCCUCCUAAAGAGUAACGGAGGAGCACGAAGGUUGGCUAAUCCUGGUCGGACAUCAGGAGGUUAGUGCAAUGGCAUAAGCCAGCUUGACUGCGAGCGUGACGGCGCGAGCAGGUGCGAAAGCAGGUCAUAGUGAUCCGGUGGUUCUGAAUGGAAGGGCCAUCGCUCAACGGAUAAAAGGUACUCCGGGGAUAACAGGCUGAUACCGCCCAAGAGUUCAUAUCGACGGCGGUGUUUGGCACCUCGAUGUCGGCUCAUCACAUCCUGGGGCUGAAGUAGGUCCCAAGGGUAUGGCUGUUCGCCAUUUAAAGUGGUACGCGAGCUGGGUUUAGAACGUCGUGAGACAGUUCGGUCCCUAUCUGCCGUGGGCGCUGGAGAACUGAGGGGGGCUGCUCCUAGUACGAGAGGACCGGAGUGGACGCAUCACUGGUGUUCGGGUUGUCAUGCCAAUGGCACUGCCCGGUAGCUAAAUGCGGAAGAGAUAAGUGCUGAAAGCAUCUAAGCACGAAACUUGCCCCGAGAUGAGUUCUCCCUGACUCCUUGAGAGUCCUGAAGGAACGUUGAAGACGACGACGUUGAUAGGCCGGGUGUGUAAGCGCAGCGAUGCGUUGAGCUAACCGGUACUAAUGAACCGUGAGGCUUAACCUUACAACGCCGAAG